AGGACACAAAAGAAAGGACUGCGUUUCUUUACCAAGACAAGGUGAAUGCUGGCUUCAAAACAGUCCGACAAACACAACCCUUCUCUAGCCCAAUAGAAACAAAGACCUUAGCGCUUCUGACCCUGGGCACAACCCAGCCUCCCUUCCCAGCAGUCCUUGCAAUCACAGACAGAGACCACCAAGGGAUGAGAAAGACACACUGAGAAAGUGUCCUUGUGUCUCCCUGCCGACCCCAUCCCGGGCCCCCGCACUGACCGGUGUGUGCUGCCGCCGAGCU
This is a long non-coding RNA of Peromyscus leucopus (white-footed mouse), 277 nucleotides long. RefSeq lists it as uncharacterized. The record is from RefSeq and is a predicted model, not a curated record. Lineage: Eukaryota; Metazoa; Chordata; Mammalia; Rodentia; Cricetidae. The transcript is spliced from 3 exons.